AUACGGAGGGUCCAAGCGUUAUCCGGAAUCAUUGGGUUUAAAGGGUCCGCAGGCGGUCAAUUAAGUCAGAGGUGAAAGCCCAUCGCUCAACGAUGGAACUGCCUUUGAUACUGGUUGACUUGAGUUAUACGGAAGUAGAUAGAAUAAGUAGUGUAGCGGUGAAAUGCAUAGAUAUUACUUAGGAUACCGAUUGCGAAGGCAGUCUACUACGUAUAUACUGACGCUGAGGGACGAAAGCGUGGGGAGCGAACAGGAUUAGAAACCCCAGUAGUCC
This 274-nucleotide ribosomal RNA is filed under the name uncultured bacterium. RNAcentral describes it as "partial 16S ribosomal RNA". It matches the Rfam family "Bacterial small subunit ribosomal RNA", at positions 523 to 796 of the family's 1533-position model. The record is from RNAcentral.